GAUGAACGCUGGCGGCGUGCCUAAUACAUGCAAGUCGAGCGAACAGACGAGGAGCUUGCUCCUCUGACGUUAGCGGCGGACGGGUGAGUAACACGUGGAUAACCUACCUAUAAGACUGGGAUAACUUCGGGAAACCGGAGCUCAUACCGGAUACUAUAUUGAACCGCAUGGUUCAAUAGUGAAAGACGGUUUUGCUGUCACUUAUAGAUUGAUCCGCGCCGCAUUAGCUAGUUGGUCAGGUAACGGCUUACCAAGGCGACGAUGCGUAGCCGACCUGAGAGGGUGAUCGGCCACACUGGAACUGAGACACGGUCCAGACUCCUACGGGAGGCAGCAGUAGGGAAUCUUCCGCAAUGGGCGAAAGCCUGACGGAGCGAUGCCGCGUGAGUGAUGAAGGUCUUCGGAUCGUAAAACUCUGUUAUUAGGGAAGAACAAAUGUGUAAGUAACUAUGCACGUCUUGACGGUACCUAAUCAGAAAGCCACGGCUAACUACGUG
RNAcentral lists this ribosomal RNA (497 nucleotides) under uncultured bacterium. RNAcentral describes it as "partial 16S ribosomal RNA". It matches the Rfam family "Bacterial small subunit ribosomal RNA", at positions 28 to 507 of the family's 1533-position model. The record is from RNAcentral.